CCUACGGGUGGCAGCAGUGGGGAAUAUUGGACAAUGGGGGGAACCCUGAUCUAGCCAUGCCGCGUGUGUGAAGAAGGCCCUCGGGUUGUAAAGCACUUUCAGUGAGGAAGAACGCCUGGUGGUUAAUACCCAUCAGGAAAGACAUCACUCACAGAAGAAGCACCGGCUAACUCCGUGCCAGCAGCCGCGGUAAUACGGAGGGUGCGAGCGUUAAUCGGAAUUACUGGGCGUAAAGCGCGCGUAGGUGGCUUGAUAAGCCGGUUGUGAAAGCCCCGGGCUCAACCUGGGAACGGCAUCCGGAACUGUCAAGCUAGAGUGCAGGAGAGGAAGGUAGAAUUCCCGGUGUAGCGGUGAAAUGCGUAGAGAUCGGGAGGAAUACCAGUGGCGAAGGCGGCCUUCUGGACUGACACUGACACUGAGGUGCGAAAGCGUGGGUAGCAAACAGGAUUAGAUACCCCGGUAGUC
RNAcentral lists this ribosomal RNA (465 nucleotides) under Vreelandella stevensii. RNAcentral describes it as "partial 16S ribosomal RNA". It matches the Rfam family "Bacterial small subunit ribosomal RNA", at positions 338 to 795 of the family's 1533-position model. The record is from RNAcentral. Lineage: Bacteria; Pseudomonadati; Pseudomonadota; Gammaproteobacteria; Oceanospirillales; Halomonadaceae.